RNAcentral lists this ribosomal RNA (1571 nucleotides) under Potorous longipes (long-footed potoroo). Its description in RNAcentral is "16S ribosomal RNA". It matches the Rfam family "Bacterial large subunit ribosomal RNA". The record is from RNAcentral. Lineage: Eukaryota; Metazoa; Chordata; Mammalia; Diprotodontia; Potoroidae.
GCUAAUCUAAGCCCAUCAAACCACCAAAACAAAUAUUUAAAUUAUUAAACCAAACCAUUUAACCCAUCCUAGUAUAGGUGAUAGAACAGAUCACACAGGCGCAAUAACGCAAGUACCGUAAGGGAAACAUGAAAGAACAUUUUAAAGCACCACAAAGCAAAGAUUAGACCUUCUACCUUUUGCAUAAUGAUUUAGCUAGUAAAAUCGGACAAAAAGAAUUAUGCCCGCCUCCCCGAAAUCAAGUGAGCUAUUAUAAAACAGUUGACAGAACCAACUCAUCUAUGUAGCAAAAUAGUGAGAAGAUUUUAUAAUAGAGGUGAAAAGCCAACCGAACUUGAUGAUAGCUGGUUAUCCAAAACAUGAAUUUUAGUUCAACUUUAAAUUUAAUUAAAAUAUUAAUAAAUAUAACUUAAAUUUAAAAGUUAAUCAAAAGGGGGACAACUCUUUUGAUCAUGUAAACAAACUUUAUUAGAGGAUAAUGAACACCAAAAACCAUCGUAGGCCCAAAAGCAGCCAUCAAUUAAGAAAGCGUUAAAGCUCAAAUUUUCAACACACUUUAAUACCAAUAAUCAUAUCAAAAUCCCUAACACAGACUAUUGGAUGAUUCUAUAACUUUAUAGAAGACAUAAUGCUAAAAUCAGUAACAAGAAAUAAUUCUCCUAGCACAAGCCUACAUUAGCAACGGAAUACCCACUAACAAUUAACAAAUCAAUAGCUAUACUCACACAACUAGUUCAACUAUUACUCACAUUGUUAACCCAACACAGGAGUGCUUACAGGAAAGAUUAAAAGGAAUAAAAGGAACUCGGCAAAUACAAACCCCGCCUGUUUACCAAAAACAUCACCUCUAGCAUAUCAAAUAUUAGAGGCAACGCCUGCCCAGUGAGUUAAUACUUUAACGGCCGCGGUAUCCUGACCGUGCAAAGGUAGCAUAAUCACUUGUCUCCUAAUUAGAGACUUGUAUGAAUGGCAUCACGAGGGUUUAACUGUCUCUUAUUCCCAAUCAGUGAAAUUGACCUUCCCGUGCAGAGGCGGGAAUAACACUACAAGACGAGAAGACCCUGCGGAGCUUAAGAUUCAUAAUCUAACUCAAUCAAAUUUUACCCAACAUAGGAACAAAAACUAAUAACCUAGAUUAUAAUCUUUGGUUGGGGUGACCUCGGAGCACAAAACAACCUCCGAAUGAUUCAAGCCUAGAUCUACCAAUCUUCGCGUAAUAAUACCAGUAAUUGACCCAUACUUUGAUCAACGGAACAAGUUACCCCAGGGAUAACAGCGCAAUCCUAUUCAAGAGCCCAUAUCGACAAUUUAGGGUUUACGACCUCGAUGUUGGAUCAGGACAUCCAAAUGGUGCAGCCGCUAUUAACGGUUCGUUUGUUCAACGAUUAAAGUCCUACGUGAUCUGAGUUCAGACCGGAGAAAUCCAGGUCGGUUUCUAUCUGUACAUUUACUUCUCCCAGUACGAAAGGACAAGAGAAGUAAGGCCUACACUAUACCAGCGAGCCUUAGAAACAAGAUAUGAAUUAAUCUUAAUAUCCUAACUCAAUUUAUAUACCCUCUAGAACAGAGCU